UAUUUGAAGAGUUUGAUCAUGGCUCAGAUUGAACGCUGGCGGCAGGCCUCAUACAUGCAAGUUGAACGAGAAAGUAUCUUCGGAUGCGAGUACAGUGGCGGACGGGUGAGUAAUACAUAGGAAUCUACCCAAUGGAGGGGGAUAGCUCGAGGAAACUCGAAUUAAUACCGCAUAAUCUCCACGGAGUAAAGAGGGCUUCGGCUCUUGCCAUCGGAUGAGCCUAUGCAAGAUUAGCUUGUUGGUAAGGUAAUGGCUUACCAAGGCUACGAUCUUUAGCUGGUUUGAGAGGACGACCAGCCACAUCGGGACUGAGACACGGCCCGGACUUCUACGGAAGGCAGCAGUAGGGAAUAUUGGACAAUGAGCGAAAGCUUGAUCCAGCCAUGCCGCGUGUGUGAUGACGGCCUUCGGGUUGUAAAGCACUUUAGGUAAUGAGGAAAAAUUAGAUGUUAAUACCACCUAAUCUUGACGUUAAUUACAGAAUAAGCACCGGCUAAAUCCGUGCCAGCAGCCGCGGUAAUACGGAUGGUGCAAGCGUUAAUCGGAAUUACUGGGCGUAAAGCGCGCGUAGGUGGUUUAUUAAGUUGGAUGUGAAAGCCCUGGGCUUAACCUCGGAACUGCAUUCCAAACUGGCGAACUA
Molecule: ribosomal RNA, 640 nt
Filed under: SAR86 cluster bacterium
Lineage: Bacteria; Pseudomonadati; Pseudomonadota; Gammaproteobacteria
Description: bacterial SSU rRNA
Rfam family: Bacterial small subunit ribosomal RNA
Source: RNAcentral